RNAcentral lists this long non-coding RNA (2073 nucleotides) under Equus caballus (horse). Its description in RNAcentral is "lncRNA (ENSECAG00000050329.1)". The record is from RNAcentral. Lineage: Eukaryota; Metazoa; Chordata; Mammalia; Perissodactyla; Equidae.
GAAAAGUAUGGAGGAAAAACCAAAAAUGUUCCAUAGCCGCCGUUGAAAUUUACAAUAGAGAAUUGAAAUAUAAUCAUGUUGUUUGGCUGCUACUGUUAUUACACAAGAAUCCACUUGUGCCUCACCCCAGACCUCUCCUCCUCAUGACACAGGAGCCAGCAAAGGCCUCCUCUCACUGGAUGAAGCUCGUGAGUAUGAGGAGCAGUCAAGCCGUCAAGGUGGAAAAGAGCAAGAACAUGCUCAACACUUUAAGUUUCUUUCAGUGGCCUUUACCUCUUGGUGUCUCAGUUCACAUCGUGAUUUUCAUUGCUCGUGGCGGAUCCGCACCAAAGCUGAGAGAAUCCAGUCUGCCUGCUGCUUUGUUAGGAAUCUGUGAUGUCACCAAUGGAGACAGGAGAGGAGAUACCACAGCAUUUGAAGCAAGUGGGAAGCAACCUACAAAGAUCAGGACUUCCAGAAGCCCAUGGAAAGGCUGAGAUGCCAGUCAAUGAGGAAUGUUCUAUCCUGGGAGGCAGACCCUUAUGACAUCAGACCAACAUCUGUUAUUCUACUGUCAAUAUUUGAGAAAAUUAAGUGGACAACUGCAUAAUUUUUCCCCUGCUCUGAGUGCUCUGGGACCCACCCGAUCAUCAUUCAGCUUUCAAGUCACGUCAUUCCCUUCUCCUUCUGCCCCACCUCUGGACAAGCUGAUAAGAAAGCCUGUGUGCUUCUUCCUUUGGCGCCAGCAGGAAGCUCAAAUCAUGCAAGCCCCAGAACACAUGAGGGAACAUAGAGAUCCAAGCCACUCACUCCUCUUUGCUCACUCAAGCCAUUUUGGGACCUGCUUGGGAGUUUGCCUUGCUCUCCCUGGAAAGUUUCAUUAUGGGCCUACACAACAGGGACUCAUGACUCCUUCAAAAGAGCAUUUCUCUUCUUUAAAACCUCCAUCCAGUCUUCUUCCUGAACAGAUAAUAACUCAAGGAGAAAGACUUGGGGCAUCACAGCUCUCUCAGUAACAACCGUAGUCAUGCCAGUAAAGCUUCCAUCACAAACACAUAGGAUAUGUUGUGGUAUCCAAGGAAAUUCUGAACUAUUUAUGAGAAGGCCAAGAAAUACAGGUGGCUCACAUUUCCCUUAAACUUGGUUCGAUGCAAAGAAAAGAAUGUCCAGCCUUCUACAAUCUAGAAGCUACUUGAACAAUAUUUGUACCAAUGCCUUUCUCAAAAUCUUCCUAACAAUGUCUAAAACCAGGUUCUGUUCUUUUUAUUAGACAACUUGCUCAAUAAAGCCAGGUGAAUCUAUAGACUUCUGCACAUAACGGUCUGGGAGCUGGGUGCUGCAGAUUAGAAAAGCAAAAGACUGUCUUAAGAAAUGCUUUGGAUCACAUCCUUGGACUUCUUCAAAUAUUUUUGAGAACCAUAUUAAAGCUUGACUUGCCUGUUUGUGCUGUGCUUCUGUAAAUGUGACACUGCUUGGGGACUGGACCUCAUGGGCGUAGCUUUAUAAAUACUGUGUCAGCUCCAAACUCUAACUUCUACAGCACUUUGUCAGUUUCUCUGUUACAACCUCAGCUGCCAUUCACUAAAAAGCUAAUAUACAUACACAACACUCAAGACAUUCUUGGGUGUCCAGGCUUUUCCCCACCUCACUGAACACUCUUCAUAUGUCUCGUUCCCUUUAAUUAAGUGCAAUUCCCUUCAUUCUCUUUGCUCACUCAUAACUCCUACAAACGGCCUCACAUGUCUGAAAUAAUUCCCAUUCUGCUACCCUCCUCCACCUUCCUCACCUUUAAAUGCUCCAUGUAUUUGGAUAGUCUGAAAAAUCUCAAAAUUUCUGAAGUCUCCUAAGCGGAGUUUUAUAUCCAGAUCUAUUAGUUUGGUACUCUCAAACAUACAUAUUUUCAUCCUAUCGCAUACUUUUUCUAACUGUGUAAAAUUGAUCUUAGCAGCAUCUAAAUCUGGCAAUGGCAGACUAUCCAUUAUUGAUGCUAAAUAAAUCUUCAUUCAUGAUAGUGGAAGCUAACAAGGCUGUUAUCUGAGAUAAGGCUGUGCAAUUCACCAGCAAUGGCACCUGAGCAACAUGUCACUAAGCUCC